Molecule: long non-coding RNA, 2483 nt
Organism: Hylaeus volcanicus
Lineage: Eukaryota; Metazoa; Arthropoda; Insecta; Hymenoptera; Colletidae
Exons: 3
Source: RefSeq, a predicted model, not a curated record
UGUGGUUUCCGGUGUUGGGCAACCGUUAGAAGCAGGGCGAGGGUUCUGCACAGGCGUCCUCCGUCGUCUUCUACCGAAGGCCGUGUGGUGUCACGGUGAGCGUGGCAAAACCCGGAAAGAAGAAAAGAAGCCGAAGGAGCUUGGAGAAGUACGAAGGAGCACGAAGGAGCCCGAAGGAGCUGAAGACCCUCCUCACCUCGACCAUCUCCUCCCCCUACUUUUCCUCGUCGAAAGCAGAAGCAGCCCUGCUUGCGGGCAUCACCGCCGAGGCAGCUGGAUUUUCAAGAUGAGUAAACUAACACGAAUCUAUUUACCGUCGGUGUCUACGAACUAUUCGGAGUAGAAUGGAACAGAACGGAACGAGAUGAAAGGGAUCGUUUGGUGGUAUUCUCUGAUGUUGGCCAGCGAGAGCUGGGACACAGUAUACCUGUGUGUGCCAAUAUCUGCGAAAGCCAAAGCUGAAAUCGGAACCAGAGGUGGACAAAUUUUAUUCGAAUAACAGACGACGAAUAAAAAUUAUGAGAAACUUGCUCAUGCCUGGUCGAAACCAGCCACAUAGCCGGUUUACUCAAUGACUGGAAGUUGAGGGGUGCAAAAGACGUGCGAGAAAGUCAGAGAAUAUGCAACCCCUUGUAUGUACGUAACAAAGUUCUCCACGCUGUCAGUAUCAGCAUCGACCGUUUCACCGUAACGUCACCGGACACGCCAACCGUAACACCUAAUCGUUACAACUUCUUUUCUUUUUCUUUUUCGCCUCGCUUUCCUUUUUUUUUUACCGCUACACGAACACGAUUCGUCGACAUUCUACUCGAGAUCAGUUUUCAAUUUUUCAUAUUUCCCCAACCAACUUUAAUUGGUACAUUUAAAACGCUAUGCGUGCGAACUUCUCUUAUAUUCUCCUUAUGUACUUUUCCUAUCGAUAGCAAAGUAUCUCCGUAUUUCUUAACUUUCUUUCUACUCUCAACCCUCUUCGUAUUAUACUCUCUGCACUCUAUCUAUCAAUUCUUUCGUGUAUUUAUUGUCAAAUAUUCUACGAGUCUUUUCUACCUUCGUUCUUUUCUUUACAGCCUGUCAUACAUUUUACCUCGAUAUGUAACGCCAUCUUCCUUGAGCCCUAGCUCCUCGACUCGCUUCCACCCUUCUGCUCGCCCCCCCCCCCCCUUUUCCUCUACCGCUCGUUUCGGUAAUGCCAUGUAUACAAGCGCGCGCAUACACAUGCACUCGGAAAUGAACCCGAGCUCCUUCUCUUCGUCCUUUGCCCUUCGCUAUCCUUCCGUCUUGUCGGUGCUUCUCUCCUGUUAGCUUCGCUAAAAGCCUGACAAGGUUGUUACGCAAAGAGAAAUUCAAUAUAGCCGUUAACUCUCGGGUACUUGUGUCUACGUGGUUACUCGACCUCUCUUUUACUCCAAUAACUUAUUACCAAAGAGUGUCGCCGCAAAGCGCGACAACGUAAGACGAGCUCGAGGUUUCAAACGACUGAGCGUAAACGCUAGCCAUAGUCAACUUUACAUGUUCGGAAUUUGAGAUAAAUAUUUAAUCAGCAGAGAACAAUAACAGUGAAGAGUAGAUUCGAUCGUCAAUGAACGGAAAAUAACGAAGGUGUGGAUGCACCAGGUACUAAAAGCCAUAGUUACGUUACUGAAUGACUACCCUCUAGCGGUAGUCUUCGGUGAGUUGCUAGGAUACACCCCAGGCUCGAACCCCUUACGAUUCGGCUACCAGUGCCUACCCAGCUACUUUUCACGAUGUGUCUAAGAAUACCUACGGAAUCAAACGAAAUCUCUAUGUAGCUAAUGCCUUUUCUGAUAUGAUCUCUAUCGAAAUAUUCGGUUACGUCGACUUCAGAAGUGGAAGCAUAGAAACGUAGACCUUUUCUUCCUUACACCCUUCCUAAUCUUUCUAUUAGUUCCAUCCAAUCGACCAAUAGUCUAUCAACUUUAACGCUGUCGAAGCAUUAGCCCUUAAUCGUAUUUAGGUCGUGUUUGCGUUACACUCCAGAGAGUACCCGAUUGGCGUUUAAAUAUAUUCGCAGAACGAUUCAAUGUUUCCUUUACGUGAUUCGUGCUGACAAAAGCAAAUAUGUAUUUGGUAAAAGCUUUUCAGCUUUAAGAGAAUAAAGAGCACAUCGAAAACUUAUGUUCUACGAUGCGACCACGUAAAAUACAUUUAAUUAAAACUGUUUCGUGUGAAAUUUCAAGUAUAAUUUUGCAAGUUGUUCUGCGUUAAUUGGUCUCCAAGACAAAUAGCUUGUCGCUGAGAGUAAAGACGUAAUACCUUUUACGCGAAUGCAAUUAUGGAACUUUAACGAUGACGCUAAGCGCUUAAUUGCGUUUAUGCUCGAACGAGAUACCUAUGUAAUCGAGGAAACAAUAGACACAGCGUGCUGCAGAUCUUCGUACUGUACUAUAGGAUAUACGUUCUUAUCCGAUUCGCCUUGAGCACUAAAUACGUAUGUAUCAUAUCUCGUCUACGAAUAAACAGCC